RNAcentral lists this ribosomal RNA (408 nucleotides) under uncultured bacterium. RNAcentral describes it as "partial 16S ribosomal RNA". It matches the Rfam family "Bacterial small subunit ribosomal RNA", at positions 28 to 526 of the family's 1533-position model. The record is from RNAcentral.
GACGAACGCUGGCGGCGUGCUUAACACAUGCAAGUCGAACGAAGUGGCGAACGGGUGAGUAACGCGUAAUCAACCUGCCCUUCAGAGGGGGACACCAGUUGGAAACGACUCCUAAUACCGCAUACGGAAGGAGGGGAUUGCGUUGGGUUUGCUAGUUAGGGGGGUAACGGCCCCCCAAGGCGAGGGUCAGUAGCCGGGUCGAGAGGAUGAACGGCCACAUUGGGACCGAGGCCCGGCCCAGACUCCUUCGGGAGGCAGCAGUGGGGAAUCUUCCGCAAUGGAGGAAAGUCUGACGGAGCAACGCCGCGUGAGUGGUGACGGCCUUCGGGUUGUAAAGCUCUUUUCAUCGGGACGCGGUACCGGAAUAGAAAGCCACGGCUAACUCCGUGCCAGCCGCCGCGGUAAUUC